RNAcentral lists this ribosomal RNA (253 nucleotides) under uncultured bacterium. Its description in RNAcentral is "partial 16S ribosomal RNA". It matches the Rfam family "Bacterial small subunit ribosomal RNA", at positions 524 to 776 of the family's 1533-position model. The record is from RNAcentral.
UACAGAGGUCUCAAGCGUUGUUCGGAUUCAUUGGGCGUAAAGGGUGUGUAGGUGGCGCCGUAAGUCAGGUGUGAAAUUUCGGAGCUCAACUCCGAAACUGCAUUUGAUACUGCGGUGCUUGAGGACUGGAGAGGAGACUGGAAUUUACGGUGUAGCAGUGAAAUGCGUAGAUAUCGAGAGGAACACCUGCGGCGAAGGCGGGUCUCUGGACAGUUCCUGACACUGAGGCACGAAGGCCAGGGGAGCAAACGGG